This 463-nucleotide ribosomal RNA is filed under the name uncultured Bacteroidota bacterium. Its description in RNAcentral is "bacterial SSU rRNA". It matches the Rfam family "Bacterial small subunit ribosomal RNA", at positions 46 to 500 of the family's 1533-position model. The record is from RNAcentral. Lineage: Bacteria; Pseudomonadati; Bacteroidota.
GCCUAACACAUGCAAGUCGAGGGGUAACAGGGAAAAGCUUGCUUUUCCGCUGACGACCGGCGCACGGGUGCGUAACGCGUAUGCAACCUACCUUUUACAGGAGUAUAGCCCAGAGAAAUUUGGAUUAAUCCUCCAUAAUAUCUUUCUCGUGCAUAUGAUAAAGAUUAAAGCUUCGGUGGUAAAAGAUGGGCAUGCGUUUUAUUAGCUAGUAGGUGAGGUAACGGCUCACCUAGGCCACGAUAAAUAGGGGCCCUGAGAGGGGGACCCCCCACACUGGUACUGAGACACGGACCAGACUCCUACGGGAGGCAGCAGUGAGGAAUAUUGGACAAUGGACGAAAGUCUGAUCCAGCCAUGCCGCGUGCAGGAUGACGGCCCUAUGGGUUGUAAACUGCUUUUAUACAGGAAGAAACACUCCCACGUGUGGGGGCUUGACGGUACUGUACGAAUAAGGAUCGGCUAA